This 253-nucleotide ribosomal RNA is filed under the name uncultured bacterium. RNAcentral describes it as "partial 16S ribosomal RNA". It matches the Rfam family "Bacterial small subunit ribosomal RNA", at positions 524 to 776 of the family's 1533-position model. The record is from RNAcentral.
UACGGAGGGUGCAAGCGUCAUCCGGAAUCAUUGGGUUUAAAGGGUCCGCAGGCGGGCUAUCAAGUCAGAGGUGAAAUCCCACAGCUUAACUGUGGAACUGCCUUUGAAACUGAUGGUCUUGAAUUAAGUGGGCGUUGGCGGAAUAUGACAUGUAGCGGUGAAAUGCAUAGAUAUGUCAUGGAACACCGAAAGCGAAGGCAGCUAACGAUACUUAUAUUGACGCUCAUGGACGAAAGCGUGGGUAGCGAACAGG